This 253-nucleotide long non-coding RNA is filed under the name Elaeis guineensis (African oil palm). RNAcentral's name for it is "long non-coding RNA (EGUI_LNC057744)". The record is from RNAcentral. Lineage: Eukaryota; Viridiplantae; Streptophyta; Magnoliopsida; Arecales; Arecaceae.
CCCUUGAAUUGGAAAAAGACAUGAUCCUUUCUCUGCUUCUAGAUCAUUAUUAGUAUCAUUUGUAGAUGCUUGUAGAUAUCAAGAGCAAAAGAAUAAGCAUUUAUUUGCUAUAUAUGCUUCUACAAUCGAAUCCUUUGGAUGUGCUCGGUUUUGAACAUAGGACUUUAAACUUGCUAGAUACCUAUGUAAAUGAUAGUUUCUAAUUACUUUCUAUUUGCUAUAUAUACAAUAUAUAAUCAAAAUAAACUAACUG